This is a long non-coding RNA of Coregonus clupeaformis (lake whitefish), 437 nucleotides long. RefSeq lists it as uncharacterized. Lineage: Eukaryota; Metazoa; Chordata; Actinopteri; Salmoniformes; Salmonidae. The record is from RefSeq and is a predicted model, not a curated record. The transcript has 4 exons.
UAGAUGGCGCUGAUGAGCGCCACUGAACCAUAUGCGCUGCACCCCGAAGUUAGCGACAGAAGAAGAGAUACCAUUGCCGCGAAAGACAACAGGAGAAGAAACGGUCACUACCUCAAGAAGUCUGAUAAGAAGCUGAGCUGAGACUAGAUGAAAAUCAGGCCAGGUUCAAGAGACUUGUGCAGACAUUCACUGACCCCAUGACAGAAGUGUACCUGCUGUUCUUCCAAGCCACCGUACCAACUUUCGCUUCUUUCAACUUGCUGCUUCAGAGAGAGCAGUCAUCAAUAUUUUUGUUACAUGAUGAGAUGGUGAAAUUCGUACGCAAGCUAUGUUCCAAGUUUAUGGUUCCAGCAGCUCUGCAGUGCCAUGAGGAGCCUUGUGAAAUUGCCUUUGAAGAAAAGGCAAACCAUUUACCAGAUUACUCGACGAGGGUGACA